Molecule: transfer RNA, 77 nt
Filed under: Amorphus orientalis
Lineage: Bacteria; Pseudomonadati; Pseudomonadota; Alphaproteobacteria; Hyphomicrobiales; Amorphaceae
Also listed under: 3 other names
Description: tRNA-Pro
Rfam family: tRNA
About the family: Transfer RNA (tRNA) molecules are approximately 80 nucleotides in length.
Source: RNAcentral
CGGGGUAUAGCUCAGCCUGGUAGAGCACCGGCUUUGGGAGCCGGGGGUCGCAAGUUCGAAUCUUGCUGCCCCGACCA